This 478-nucleotide ribosomal RNA is filed under the name uncultured bacterium. Its description in RNAcentral is "partial 16S ribosomal RNA". It matches the Rfam family "Bacterial small subunit ribosomal RNA", at positions 28 to 523 of the family's 1533-position model. The record is from RNAcentral.
GACGAACGCUGGCGGCGUGCUUAACACAUGCAAGUCGAACGGUAAGGCCCUUCGGGGUACACGAGUGGCGAACGGGUGAGUAACACGUGGGUGAUCUGCCCUGCACUUCGGGAUAAGCCUGGGAAACUGGGUCUAAUACCGGAUAGGACCACUGCCUGCAGGGGUGGUAGGGGAAAGCUUUUGCGGUGUGGGAUGGGCCCGCGGCCUAUCAGCUUGUUGGUGGGGUGAUGGCCUACCAAGGCGACGACGGGUAGCCGGCCUGAGAGGGUGACCGGCCACACUGGGACUGAGAUACGGCCCAGACUCCUACGGGAGGCAGCAGUGGGGAAUAUUGCACAAUGGGCGCAAGCCUGAUGCAGCGACGCCGCGUGAGGGAUGACGGCCUUCGGGUUGUAAACCUCUUUCAGCACCGACGAAGCGCAAGUGACGGUAGGUGCAGAAGAAGGACCGGCCAACUACGUGCCAGCAGCCGCCGCUG